This 490-nucleotide ribosomal RNA is filed under the name uncultured bacterium. Its description in RNAcentral is "partial 16S ribosomal RNA". It matches the Rfam family "Bacterial small subunit ribosomal RNA", at positions 28 to 507 of the family's 1533-position model. The record is from RNAcentral.
GAUGAACGCUAGCGAUAGGCCUAACACAUGCAAGUCGAGGGGCAGCAUGGUCUUAGCUUGCUAAGACUGAUGGCGACCGGCGCACGGGUGCGUAAUGCGUAUGCAACUUGUCUCACAGAGGGGGCUAACCCGUCGCAAGACUAACUAAUACCGCUUACAUUUGGGAUAGGGUUCCCUGAUCCAAGGAAAUGAAAUUCGCUGUUAUAUAGGCAUGCGUCCCAUUAGCUCGUUGGUGAGGUAACGGCUCACCAAGGCGACGAUGGGUAGGGGAACUGAGAGGGUGAACCCCCACACUGGUACUGAGACACGGACCAGACUGCUACGGGAGGCAGCGGAAAGGAAUAUUGUGCGAUGAGGGCGAGCCUGAACCAGCCGAGUCGGGUGAAGGAUGACUGUCUUAUGAAUACUAAGCUUCUUUUAAACGAGAAAAGCGAGAGUAACGUGGGGCUCCCUGACUGUACCGUAUGAGUAAGCAACGGCUAACUCCGUG